CAACCACACCAAUAGAGUGUUGCCACGCGCCCACACCUGUGAUAUGGUCUCCACCCACGCGUCAUGACCCACCACCACCACUGCUGAAGCAGGAGAACAACAACAACACACACAAACUGCCAUCAUAUCUAACAGAAACAGUGAAGAAAGAUGACGGGGGAGGACGGUGGUGUUGGGAGGAUGGUGGUGUAGUGUACAAACAUCACCUGUAUAGUGUCCAUGGUGGCACUAUAAGUGACGUCAUAACUACUCGAGCAAAGAUAUGCCUUCCAUUGUCUAUAAAUAAAUAAUAAAUAAAUAAAUAAAUAAAUAAAUAAAUAAAUACAUUACUAAUAUCAUGGGUUAAGAUCGGUAUCUCAACUAUAUGUAAAGUAAUCUACAUAAAAUAUUGCUUUUCCUACAAAUAAAACAAAAACAUCAUAUGCAGCAAAAAAUAUAAUGAAACUGCUGUUCACCUCGACUCACUCAGCCUUCACACACUCACUGGCUUGGUAGAGUGCGUCGACAGAUGUUCCAUGAUGUACUGUACAAUAAUUGAGUGUACAAGAUGUUCACUCGUAAGUCAGGUGUGUUAACUACUGUGUCCAGAGCUUUAACCCUUUGAGGAAGAUGUGUUAACAGGUGAAUGGCUUAAACACCUGAAGUAUGAUGAUUUAACCCUUUGAGGACGAUGUCUUGAUAUCAUCCAUGGUUUAAAACUCUUUUAGGAUGAUGGUUUACACACCUGUAGGAUGAUGGUUUACACACCUGUAGGAUGAUGGUUUACACACCUGCAUGAUGAUGGUUUACACACCUUUAAAAAGAUUGUUUACACACCUGUAGGAUGAUGGUUUACACACCUGUAGGAAGAUGAUUUACACACCUGUAGGAUGAUGGAUUAUACACCUUUGGGAUGAUGGUAUACACACCUGUAGGAUGAUGAUUUACACACCUGCAGGAUGAUGGUUUACACACAUGUAAGAUGAUGAUUUACACACCUGCAUGAUGAUGGUUUACACACCUUUAAAAAGAUUGUUUACACACCUGCAGGAAGAUGGUUUACACACCUGUAGGAAGAUGAUUUACACACCUGUAGGAAGAUGAUUUACACACCUGUAGGAUGAUGAUUUACACACCUGUAGGAUGAUGGUUAGACUGUCGUCCUCAAAGGGUGGUCACACUCUAAUAGAGCAGUGUCUGAUGGUCACUGUCCCGCCAUCUUCACCUGUUCUCUACAUAUUGUUGUUGAUAAUAAAUGUUAAGAGUU
Long non-coding RNA from Homarus americanus (American lobster), 1246 nucleotides. RefSeq lists it as uncharacterized. Lineage: Eukaryota; Metazoa; Arthropoda; Malacostraca; Decapoda; Nephropidae. The transcript has 3 exons. The record is from RefSeq and is a predicted model, not a curated record.